AGCAUAACGUUGAACAAGAGGAGUAACUAGUUAUUGACUUUUAGAGAGAGAACGAGAAGGUGGGAUGUUCUUAGGGAUGACUAGUGAAGGUAGCUUGGGAGUUUUUAUCUUGAAACUUUAAGCAACAUGGAAAGUAGAGAUAAACGAGUUGUGACCGUUAAUUCACACAAAGAGGUAGUAGGAAACUACUACAAAUUAGGUGGUACCGCGUAAAUUAAUACGUCCUAAAA
This 230-nucleotide non-coding RNA is filed under the name Enterococcus ratti. Its description in RNAcentral is "T-box sequence". It matches the Rfam family "T-box leader". From Rfam's summary of the family: Uncharged tRNA acts as the effector for transcription antitermination of genes in the T-box leader family. T-boxes are found upstream of many aminoacyl-tRNA synthetase genes and some amino acid biosynthetic genes usually in Gram-positive bacteria. Lineage: Bacteria; Bacillati; Bacillota; Bacilli; Lactobacillales; Enterococcaceae. The record is from RNAcentral.